Non-coding RNA from Podarcis lilfordi (Lilford's wall lizard), 70 nucleotides. The record is from the annotation of a GenBank genome assembly. NCBI's taxonomy places the organism in Eukaryota, Metazoa, Chordata, Lepidosauria, Squamata, Lacertidae.
GGAUAGUUCAGUUGGUUAGAGCAUGGUGCUGACAAUGCCAAGGUUGCAGGUUCGAUCCCCAUAAGGACCA